Molecule: ribosomal RNA, 465 nt
Filed under: uncultured bacterium
Lineage: Bacteria
Description: bacterial SSU rRNA
Rfam family: Bacterial small subunit ribosomal RNA
Source: RNAcentral
CCUACGGGUCGCAGCAGUAGGGAAUCUUCGGCAGUGGGCGAAAGUCUGGCCGAGCAACGCCGCGUGAGUGAAGAAGGUUUUCGGAUCGUAAAACUCUGUUGGUAGAGAAGAACGUUGGUGAGAGUGGAAAGCUCAUCAGGUGACGGUAACUACCCAGAAAGGGACGGCUAACUACGUGCCAGCAGCCGCGGUAAUACGUAGGUCCCGAGCGUUAUCCGGAUUUAUUGGGCGUAAAGCGAGCGCAGGUGGUUUAUUAAGUCUGGUGUAAAAGGCAGUGGCUCAACCAUUGUAUGCAUUGGAAACUGGUAGACUUGAGUGCAGGAGAGGAGAGUGGAAUUCCAUGUGUAGCGGUGAAAUGCGUAGAUAUAUGGAGGAACACCGGUGGCGAAAGCGGCUCUCUGGCCUGUAACUGACACUGAGGCUCGAAAGCGUGGGGAGCAAACAGGAUUAGAUACCCCAGUAGUC